Molecule: ribosomal RNA, 2571 nt
Filed under: human oral metagenome
Description: bacterial LSU rRNA
Rfam family: Bacterial large subunit ribosomal RNA (bases 1252-2571)
Source: RNAcentral
ACCGCCCUUGCCCGGCUGCAUCUCGAUGUUGUGGAUCGUGGACCCCACAGGGAUGUUGCGGAUGGGCAGGGUGUUGCCAGCGCGGAUCGGGGCCUCGGAACCGGACAUCAGUUCAGCGCCAGCCGAAACGCCACGCGGUGCCAGGAUGUAGCGACGCUCGCCGUCUGCGUACAGCAGCAGGGCCAGGUGGGCGCUACGGUUCGGAUCAUAUUCCAGGCGCUCGACGCGGGCGGGAAUACCGUCCUUGUUGCGGCGGAAGUCGACGAUCCGGUAAUGACGCUUGUGACCACCACCGCGAUGACGGGUGGUGAUGUGACCCAGGUUGUUGCGACCCGAACCGCGUUUCUUCGGCUCGAUCAGCGACGCAACCGGGGCGCCCUUGUGCAAGGUCGGGGUAACGACCUUGACCAUCGCCCGGCGGCCGGGCGACGUCGGUUUCAGUUUCACGACCGGCAUUUACUUGGUCUCCGCGAAAUUGAUCUCUUGGCCCGCUGCCAGACUGACAUACGCCUUGCGGAUGUUCCGCCGACGCCCCAUGCCGCGGCCGAAGCGCUUCUGCUUGCCCGCGAUGUUGACCACGUUGACCGCAUCGACCGUCACCUUGAACAGCGACUCGAUGGCAGCCUUGACUUCAGCCUUGGUGGCGUCCUGCAUCACCCGGAAGACGUACUGGUUCUGCUUUUCGCCCACCAGCGUGCUUUUCUCGGAGAUGACCGGAGCGAUCACCACUUGUGUCAGACGAUUCGGAUUCAUCCCAGCAUCUCCUGAAUCUGCGCCAGCGCCUGCUUGGUGACCAGGACGUUGUCGUAAUGGACCAGCGACAGCGGGUCGAUGUGGCGGGUUUCGAGCACCAGCACGUGCGGCAGGUUACGAGCUGCCAGGUACAGGUUCUCGUCUUCGUUGUCCACCACGAUGAGCGUGGACUUCAGACCCAUGCCGUUGAGCUUGCCGACCAGCAGUUUGGUCUUGGGCGCUUCCAGCUUCAGCGACUCGACCACCGACAGACGGUCUUCGCGGACCAGCUGCGACAGGAUGGAGCGCAUGCCGGCGCGGUACAUCUUCCGGUUGACCUUCUGCGAGAAGUUCUCAUCCGGCUUGUUCGGGAAGAUGCGACCGCCUCCGCGCCACAGCGGGCUGGAGGUCAUACCGGCGCGAGCACGGCCCGUGCCUUUCUGACGCCACGGCUUCUUCGUGGAGUGACGGACCUCGGUACGGUCCUUCUGGGCACGAUUGCCGCUGCGGGCGUUGGCCUGGUAGGCCACGACGAUCUGGUGAAUCAGCGGCUCAUUGAAGUCGGUGCCGAAAACGGUGUCAACCACCGAGACGGCGCCAGCCUUCUGACCCUGAUCGUUCAAGAUAUUCAGUUCCAUGUUCGAACGAUCCUCUCUCAAGCCUUGCCCUUGGCCUCGGCAGCCUCGGUCCGGACGGGCUUCAGGCGGCGCUUGACCGACGGGGUGACGAAGAAGGGUAGCUCAGCGGGGUUCUGGACGUCCCCGUGAGGCCACGUAGGCCGGGCGGCUGUGAAACGCGCCGCCCGCGAGGGCUGAGGUGGCUGACGAAGCGACUGGGUGAAGUGAGUGAGCCCAUGCUCCCGAGAAAAACCCCUAGGGAUGCCGCGCGGGGCCCGUACCGCAAACCGACACAGGUGGGUGGGUAGAACAUACCAAGGCGAUCGGGAGAACUAUGGUUAAGGAACUCGGCAAAACUGCCCCGCAACUUCGGGAGAAGGGGUGCCGCCGCCGGUGGAGGGGCUUGCCCCCCGAGCUGGUGGCGGCCACAGUGAAGAGGUCCAAGCGACUGUUUAUCAAAAACACAGGACUCUGCUGAAGUCGUAAGACGACGUAUAGGGUCUGACGCCUGCCCGGUGCCGGAAGGUCACGCGGAAGGGUCAGCGAAAGCGAAGCCCCGAAGCCAAGCCCCGGUAAACGGCGGCCGUAACUAUAACGGUCCUAAGGUAGCGAAAUUCCUUGUCGGGUAAGUUCCGACCUGCACGAAAGGCGUAACGAUUUGGACGCUGUCUCAACCAUAGACCCGGUGAAAUUGCACUAGUCGUGAAGAUGCGACUUACCCGCAGAAGGACGGAAAGACCCCGUGAACCUUUACUGCAGCUUGACAUUGGCUGCCGGUUCGUCGUGUAGAGGAUAGGUGGGAGACUUUGAACCAGGGACGCCAGUCUCUGGGGAGUCACCCUUGGAAUACCACCCUCGACGUUCUGGCAUCCUAACUUGCGACCGUUAUCCGGCGUGAGGACCGUGUCAGGUGGGUAGUUUGACUGGGGCGGUCGCCUCCUAAAAUGUAACGGAGGCGCACGUAAGGUCUGCUCAGGAUGGUCGGCAACCAUCCUUUUGAGUGCAAGAGCAUAAGCAGGCUUGACUGCGAGGCCUACAAGCCGAGCAGAUGGGAAACCAGGUUCUAGUGAUCCGGCGGCUCAGAGUGGUAUGGCCGUCGCUCAACGGACAAAAGGUACUCCGGGGAUAACAGGCUGAUCUUCCCCAAGAGUCCACAUCGACGGGAAGGUUUGGCACCUCGAUGUCGGCUCAUCGCAUCCUGGGGCUGGAGCAGGUCCCAAGG